This 1243-nucleotide ribosomal RNA is filed under the name metagenome. Its description in RNAcentral is "bacterial LSU rRNA". It matches the Rfam family "Bacterial large subunit ribosomal RNA", at positions 1564 to 2817 of the family's 2925-position model. The record is from RNAcentral.
UGAAUACGAGACGCUAAGGCGUCGAAGUAGUGUAUGUCAUACUUCCAAGAAAAGCUUGCACUGUCAUAGAUAAAAAACGCCUGUACCAUAACCGACACAGGUGGGUAGGUAGAGUAUACUAAGGGGCGCGAGAUAACUCUCUCUAAGGAACUCGGCAAAAUAACUCCGUAACUUCGGGAGAAGGAGUGCCUUAUUCGUAAGGUUGAAAUAACAAGAUCCAAGCGACUGUUUAUCAAAAACACAGGUCUCCGCUAAGUCGUAAGACGAUGUAUGGGGGCUGACGCCUGCCUAGUGCCAGAAGGUUAAAGAAGUUGGUUAGCAAUUGCGAAGCUGAUAACUGAAGCCCUGGUGAACGGCGGCCGUAACUAUAACGGUCCUAAGGUAGCGAAAUUCCUUGUCGGGUAAGUUCCGACCCGCACGAAAGGCGUAAUGAUUUGGAUACUGUCUCGGAGAGGGGCUCGGUGAAAUAGACUUGUCUGUGAAGAUGCGGACUACCUGCACCAGGACAGAAAGACCCUAUGAAGCUUUACUGUAACUUGAAAUUGAAAUUGGACUUUAUUCGCGCAGCAUAGGUGGGAGGCGUUGAUUAUAAUCUUGCGGGAUUAUUGGAGCCAUCAGUGAGAUACCACUCUUGUAAUGUUAGAUUUCUAACUUUGAAUCAUUAUCUGGUCAAAGAACAGUUUCAGGCGGGCAGUUUGACUGGGGCGGUCGCCUCCUAAGCGGUAACGGAGGCGUACAAAGGUUUCCUCUGAACGGUUAGAAAUCGUAUCUAGAGUGUAAAGGCAUAAGGAAGCUUGACUGUGAGACCUACAAGUCGAGCAGGGACGAAAGUCGGUCUUAGUGAUCUGACGGUACUGAAUGGAAAGGCCGUCACUCAACGGAUAAAAGUUACUCUAGGAUAACAGGCUGAUCUCCCCCAAGAGUUCACAUCGACGGGGAGGUUUGGCACCUCGAUGUCGGCUCAUCGCAUCCUGGGGCGGUAGUACGUCCCAAGGGUUGGGCUGUUCGCCCAUGAAAGCGGUACGCGAGCUGGGUUCAGAACGUCGUGAGACAGUUCGGUCCAUAUCCGGUGUAGGCGUUAGAAUAUUGAGAGGAGCCUUCUUUAGUACGAGAGGACCGAGAAGGACAUACCUCUGGUGUACCAGUUAUCGUGCCAACGGUAAACGCUGGGUAGCUAUGUAUGGAGUGGAUAACCGCUGAAAGCAUCUAAGUGGGAAGCCCACCUCAAGAUAAGUAUUCUCAU